RNAcentral lists this long non-coding RNA (231 nucleotides) under Physcomitrium patens. RNAcentral's name for it is "long non-coding RNA (PPAT_LNC002014)". Lineage: Eukaryota; Viridiplantae; Streptophyta; Bryopsida; Funariales; Funariaceae. The record is from RNAcentral.
GCGUCGGCAAACUACCACUCAUUCUCACAACUUCAUCUAGUUCUCUACAACACCUAUAUAUAUAUAUAUAUAUAUAUAUAUACAUAUACAUACAUAGAGAUAGAUAGAUAUGUGUGUGUGUGUGUAUUGACAUACAAUCACUACCAUCGCAGCCAGUGCUUGAAUCAAUCCCUUACAUGCACCUGAGUCAGUCCUUCAAAAACUACUUGAAGCCGUCAGAUGCUCGCUUCA